GUUUCCGUAGUGUAGCGGUUAUCACGUCUGCUUCACACGCAGAAGGGCCCCGGUUCGAUCCCGGGCGGGAACA
RNAcentral lists this transfer RNA (73 nucleotides) under Schistocerca americana (American grasshopper). RNAcentral's name for it is "tRNA-Val". It matches the Rfam family "tRNA". Rfam says of the family: Transfer RNA (tRNA) molecules are approximately 80 nucleotides in length. Their secondary structure includes four short double-helical elements and three loops (D, anti-codon, and T loops). Lineage: Eukaryota; Metazoa; Arthropoda; Insecta; Orthoptera; Acrididae. The record is from RNAcentral. RNAcentral also lists the same sequence under 2 other names.